This 1446-nucleotide ribosomal RNA is filed under the name uncultured organism. RNAcentral's name for it is "SSU rRNA". It matches the Rfam family "Bacterial small subunit ribosomal RNA". The record is from RNAcentral.
UGGCUCAGGAUGAACGCUAGCUACAGGCUUAACACAUGCAAGUCGAGGGGCAGCAUGGUCUUAGCUUGCUAAGGCCGAUGGCGACCGGCGCACGGGUGAGUAACACGUAUCCAACCUGCCGUCUACUCUUGGACAGCCUUCUGAAAGGAAGAUUAAUACAAGAUGGCAUCAUGAGUCCACAUGUUCACAUGAUUAAAGGUAUUCCGGUAGACGAUGGGGAUGCGUUCCAUUAGAUAGUAGGCGGGGUAACGGCCCACCUAGUCUUCGAUGGAUAGGGGUUCUGAGAGGAAGGUCCCCCACAUUGGAACUGAGACACGGUCCAAACUCCUACGGGAGGCAGCAGUGAGGAAUAUUGGUCAAUGGGCGAGAGCCUGAACCAGCCAAGUAGCGUGAAGGAUGACUGCCCUAUGGGUUGUAAACUUCUUUUAUAAAGGAAUAAAGUCGGGUAUGCAUACCCGUUUGCAUGUACUUUAUGAAUAAGGAUCGGCUAACUCCGUGCCAGCAGCCGCGGUAAUACGGAGGAUCCGAGCGUUAUCCGGAUUUAUUGGGUUUAAAGGGAGCGUAGAUGGAUGUUUAAGUCAGUUGUGAAAGUUUGCGGCUCAACCGUAAAAUUGCAGUUGAUACUGGAUAUCUUGAGUGCAGUUGAGGCAGGCGGAAUUCGUGGUGUAGCGGUGAAAUGCUUAGAUAUCACGAAGAACUCCGAUUGCGAAGGCAGCCUGCUAAGCUGCAACUGACAUUGAGGCUCGAAAGUGUGGGUAUCAAACAGGAUUAGAUACCCUGGUAGUCCACACGGUAAACGAUGAAUACUCGCUGUUUGCGAUAUACUGCAAGCGGCCAAGCGAAAGCGUUAAGUAUUCCACCUGGGGAGUACGCCGGCAACGGUGAAACUCAAAGGAAUUGACGGGGGCCCGCACAAGCGGAGGAACAUGUGGUUUAAUUCGAUGAUACGCGAGGAACCUUACCCGGGCUUAAAUUGCAGAUGAAUUACGGUGAAAGCCGUAAGCCGCAAGGCAUCUGUGAAGGUGCUGCAUGGUUGUCGUCAGCUCGUGCCGUGAGGUGUCGGCUUAAGUGCCAUAACGAGCGCAACCCUUGUUGUCAGUUACUAACAGGUUCCGCUGAGGACUCUGACAAGACUGCCAUCGUAAGAUGUGAGGAAGGUGGGGAUGACGUCAAAUCAGCACGGCCCUUACGUCCGGGGCUACACACGUGUUACAAUGGGGGGUACAGAGGGCCGCUACCACGCGAGUGGAUGCCAAUCCCAAAAACCUCUCUCAGUUCGGACUGGAGUCUGCAACCCGACUCCACGAAGCUGGAUUCGCUAGUAAUCGCGCAUCAGCCACGGCGCGGUGAAUACGUUCCCGGGCCUUGUACACACCGCCCGUCAAGCCAUGGGAGCCGGGGGUACCUGAAGUGCGUAACCGCGAGGAGCGCCCUAGGGUAAAACUG